AGAGUUUGAUCAUGGCUCAGGAUGAACGCUGGCGGCGUGCUUAACACAUGCAAGUCGAACGAUGAAAGCGGGAGCUUGCUCCUGCUGGAUUAGUGGCGAACGGGUGAGUAACACGUGUGUAACCUGCCCUUGACUCUGGGAUAAGCGUUGGAAACGACGUCUGAUACCGGAUACGACCUUCAGAGGCAUCUCCUGGGGGUGGAAAGAAUUUCGGUCAAGGAUGGACUCGCGGCCUAUCAGCUAGUUGGUGAGGUAAUGGCUCACCAAGGCGACGACGGGUAGCCGGCCUGAGAGGGUGACCGGCCACACUGGGACUGAGACACGGCCCAGACUCCUACGGGAGGCAGCAGUGGGGAAUAUUGCACAAUGGGCGCAAGCCUGAUGCAGCAACGCCGCGUGAGGGACGACGGCCUUCGGGUUGUAAACCUCUUUAGUAGGGAAGAAGCGAAAGUGACGGUACCUGCAGAAAAGCACCGGCUAACUACGUG
Molecule: ribosomal RNA, 488 nt
Filed under: uncultured bacterium
Lineage: Bacteria
Description: bacterial SSU rRNA
Rfam family: Bacterial small subunit ribosomal RNA
Source: RNAcentral